Molecule: ribosomal RNA, 1369 nt
Filed under: uncultured bacterium
Lineage: Bacteria
Description: bacterial SSU rRNA
Rfam family: Bacterial small subunit ribosomal RNA
Source: RNAcentral
GACGAACGCUGGCGGCGUGCCUAAUACAUGCAAGUAGAACGCUGAAGAGAGGAGCUUGCUCUUCUUGGAUGAGUUGCGAACGGGUGAGUAACGCGUAGGUAACCUGCCUUGUAGCGGGGGAUAACUAUUGGAAACGAUAGCUAAUACCGCAUAACAAUGGAUGACACAUGUCAUUUAUUUGAAAGGGGCAAUUGCUCCACUACAAGAUGGACCUGCGUUGUAUUAGCUAGUAGGUGAGGUAACGGCUCACCUAGGCGACGAUACAUAGCCGACCUGAGAGGGUGAUCGGCCACACUGGGACUGAGACACGGCCCAGACUCCUACGGGAGGCAGCAGUAGGGAAUCUUCGGCAAUGGGGGCAACCCUGACCGAGCAACGCCGCGUGAGUGAAAAAGGUUUUCGGAUCGUAAAGCUCUGUUGUAAGUCAAGAACGAGUGUGAGAGUGGAAAGUUCACACUGUGACGGUAGCUUACCAGAAAGGGACGGCUAACUACGUGCCAGCAGCCGCGGUAAUACGUAGGUCCCGAGCGUUGUCCGGAUUUAUUGGGCGUAAAGCGAGCGCAGGCGGUUUGAUAAGUCUGAAGUUAAAGGCUGUGGCUCAACCAUAGUUCGCUUUGGAAACUGUCAAACUUGAGUGCAGAAGGGGAGGGUGGAAUUCCAUGUGUAGCGGUGAAAUGCGUAGAUAUAUGGAGGAACACCGGUGGCGAAAGCGGCUCUCUGGUCUGUAACUGACGCUGAGGCUCGAAAGCGUGGGGAGCGAACAGGAUUAGAUACCCUGGUAGUCCACGCCGUAAACGAUGAGUGCUAGGUGUUGGAUCCUUUCCGGGAUUCAGUGCCGCAGCUAACGCAUUAAGCACUCCGCCUGGGGAGUACGACCGCAAGGUUGAAACUCAAAGGAAUUGACGGGGGCCCGCACAAGCGGUGGAGCAUGUGGUUUAAUUCGAAGCAACGCGAAGAACCUUACCAGGUCUUGACAUCCCGAUGCUAUUUCUAGAGAUAGAAAGUUACUUCGGUACAUCGGUGACAGGUGGUGCAUGGUUGUCGUCAGCUCGUGUCGUGAGAUGUUGGGUUAAGUCCCGCAACGAGCGCAACCCCUAUUGUUAGUUGCCAUCAUUCAGUUGGGCACUCUAGCGAGACUGCCGGUAAUAAACCGGAGGAAGGUGGGGAUGACGUCAAAUCAUCAUGCCCCUUAUGACCUGGGCUACACACGUGCUACAAUGGUUGGUACAACGAGUUGCGAGUCGGUGACGGCAAGCUAAUCUCUUAAAGCCAAUCUCAGUUCGGAUUGUAGGCUGCAACUCGCCUACAUGAAGUCGGAAUCGCUAGUAAUCGCGGAUCAGCACGCCGCGGUGAAUACGUUCCCGGGCCU